GGUAAAAGCUCAAAUUUGAAAUCUGGUACUUUCAGUGCCCGAGUUGUAAUUUGUAGAAUUUGUCUUUGAUUAGGUCCUUGUCUAUGUUCCUUGGAACAGGACGUCAUAGAGGGUGAGAAUCCCGUUUGGCGAGGAUACCUUUUCUCUGUAAGACUUUUUCGAAGAGUCGAGUUGUUUGGGAAUGCAGCUCAAAGUGGGUGGUAAAUUCCAUCUAAAGCUAAAUAUUGGCGAGAGACCGAUAGCGAACAAGUACAGUGAUGGAAAGAUGAAAAGAACUUUGAAAAGAGAGUGAAAAAGUACGUGAAAUUGUUGAAAGGGAAGGGCAUUUGAUCAGACAUGGUGUUUUUUGCAUGCACUCGCCUCUCGUGGGCUUGGGCCUCUCAAAAAUUUCACUGGGCCAACAUCAAUUCUGGCAGCAGGAUAAAUCAUUAAGAAUGUAGCUA
Molecule: ribosomal RNA, 443 nt
Filed under: Hanseniaspora uvarum
Lineage: Eukaryota; Fungi; Ascomycota; Saccharomycetes; Saccharomycodales; Saccharomycodaceae
Description: partial large subunit ribosomal RNA
Rfam family: Eukaryotic large subunit ribosomal RNA
Source: RNAcentral